GGGGGGGUGGCGGAACUGGCAGACGCCCGGGAUUUAAAAUCCUGUGACCCUUGGUCGUCCGGGUUCGAUCCCCGGUCCCCUCACUA
Molecule: transfer RNA, 86 nt
Filed under: Candidatus Falkowbacteria bacterium CG10_big_fil_rev_8_21_14_0_10_39_11
Lineage: Bacteria; Candidatus Falkowiibacteriota
Description: tRNA-Leu
Rfam family: tRNA
About the family: Transfer RNA (tRNA) molecules are approximately 80 nucleotides in length. Their secondary structure includes four short double-helical elements and three loops (D, anti-codon, and T loops).
Source: RNAcentral